Molecule: ribosomal RNA, 668 nt
Filed under: Pantoea sp.
Lineage: Bacteria; Pseudomonadati; Pseudomonadota; Gammaproteobacteria; Enterobacterales; Erwiniaceae
Also listed under: 1 other name
Description: bacterial SSU rRNA
Rfam family: Bacterial small subunit ribosomal RNA
Source: RNAcentral
UAGAUACCCUGGUAGUCCACGCCGUAAACGAUGUCGACUUGGAGGUUGUUCCCUUGAGGAGUGGCUUCCGGAGCUAACGCGUUAAGUCGACCGCCUGGGGAGUACGGCCGCAAGGUUAAAACUCAAAUGAAUUGACGGGGGCCCGCACAAGCGGUGGAGCAUGUGGUUUAAUUCGAUGCAACGCGAAGAACCUUACCUACUCUUGACAUCCAGAGAACUUUCCAGAGAUGGAUUGGUGCCUUCGGGAACUCUGAGACAGGUGCUGCAUGGCUGUCGUCAGCUCGUGUUGUGAAAUGUUGGGUUAAGUCCCGCAACGAGCGCAACCCUUAUCCUUUGUUGCCAGCGAUUCGGUCGGGAACUCAAAGGAGACUGCCGGUGAUAAACCGGAGGAAGGUGGGGAUGACGUCAAGUCAUCAUGGCCCUUACGAGUAGGGCUACACACGUGCUACAAUGGCGCAUACAAAGAGAAGCGACCUCGCGAGAGCAAGCGGACCUCACAAAGUGCGUCGUAGUCCGGAUCGGAGUCUGCAACUCGACUCCGUGAAGUCGGAAUCGCUAGUAAUCGUGGAUCAGAAUGCCACGGUGAAUACGUUCCCGGGCCUUGUACACACCGCCCGUCACACCAUGGGAGUGGGUUGCAAAAGAAGUAGGUAGCUUAACCUUCGGGA